This 325-nucleotide ribosomal RNA is filed under the name uncultured eukaryote. RNAcentral describes it as "partial 18S ribosomal RNA". It matches the Rfam family "Eukaryotic small subunit ribosomal RNA", at positions 1470 to 1796 of the family's 1831-position model. The record is from RNAcentral.
CCCUUAGAUGUCCUGGGCCGCACGCGCGCUACACUGAUGCAUUCAACGAGUUUUACCUUGGCCGAGAGGCCUGGGCAAUCUUUUGAACCUGCAUCGUGAUAGGGAUAGAUUAUUGCAAUUAUUAAUCUUGAACGAGGAAUUCCUAGUAAACGCAGAUCAUCAAUCUGCAUUGAUUACGUCCCUGCCCUUUGUACACACCACCCGUCGCACCUACCGAUUGAAUGGUCCGGUGAAGCCUCGGGAUUGUGGCGAGUUCCCUUUAUUGGGAGUUUGUCGCGAGAACUUGUCUAAACCUUAUCAUUUAGAGGAAGGUGAAGUCGUANCA